This 500-nucleotide ribosomal RNA is filed under the name uncultured bacterium. RNAcentral describes it as "partial 16S ribosomal RNA". It matches the Rfam family "Bacterial small subunit ribosomal RNA", at positions 30 to 523 of the family's 1533-position model. The record is from RNAcentral.
AUUGAACGCUGGCGGCAUGCCUUACACAUGCAAGUCGAACGGCAGCACGGGAGCAAUCCUGGUGGCGAGUGGCGAACGGGUGAGUAAUGUAUCGGAACGUGCCCAGUCGUGGGGGAUAACGUAGCGAAAGCUACGCUAAUACCGCAUACGAUCUAUGGAUGAAAGCGGGGGAUCGCAAGACCUCGCGCGAUUGGAGCGGCCGAUAUCAGAUUAGGUAGUUGGUGGGGUAAAGGCUCACCAAGCCGACGAUCUGUAGCUGGUCUGAGAGGACGACCAGCCACACUGGGACUGAGACACGGCCCAGACUCCUAUGGGAGGCAGCAGUGGGGAAUUUUGGACAAUGGGCGCAAGCCUGAUCCAGCAAUGCCGCGUGCAGGAUGAAGGCCUUCGGGUUGUAACCUGCUUUUGUACGGAACGAAACGGCGAGCUCUAAUACAGUUUGCUAAUGACGGUACCGUAAGAAUAAGCACCGGCUAACUACGUGCCAGCCGCCGCGGUAA